This 71-nucleotide transfer RNA is filed under the name Bacillus subtilis. RNAcentral's name for it is "tRNA-Glu". It matches the Rfam family "tRNA". From Rfam's summary of the family: Transfer RNA (tRNA) molecules are approximately 80 nucleotides in length. Their secondary structure includes four short double-helical elements and three loops (D, anti-codon, and T loops). Further hydrogen bonds mediate the characteristic L-shaped molecular structure. tRNAs have two regions of fundamental functional importance: the anti-codon, which is responsible for specific mRNA codon recognition, and the 3' end, to which the tRNAs corresponding amino acid is attached (by aminoacyl-tRNA synthetases). tRNAs cope with the degeneracy of the genetic code in two manners: having more than one tRNA (with a specific anti-codon) for a particular amino acid; and 'wobble' base-pairing, i.e. permitting non-standard base-pairing at the 3rd anti-codon position. The record is from RNAcentral. Lineage: Bacteria; Bacillati; Bacillota; Bacilli; Caryophanales; Bacillaceae. RNAcentral also lists the same sequence under 1 other name.
ACUCGUUGGUCAAGCGGUUAAGACACCGCCCUUUCACGGCGGUAACACGGGUUCGAAUCCCGUACGGGUCA